This 466-nucleotide ribosomal RNA is filed under the name uncultured bacterium. Its description in RNAcentral is "partial 16S ribosomal RNA". It matches the Rfam family "Bacterial small subunit ribosomal RNA", at positions 28 to 507 of the family's 1533-position model. The record is from RNAcentral.
GAUGAACGCUGGCGGCGUGCUUAACACAUGCAAGUCGAACGGAAAGGCUCCUGCUUGCAGGGGUACUCGAGUGGCGAACGGGUGAGUAACACGUGGGUGAUCUGCCCUGCACUUCGGGAUAAGCCUGGGAAACUGGGUCUAAUACCGGAUAGGACGAUGGUUUGGAUGCCAUUGUGGAAAGUUUUUUCGGUGUGGGAUGAGCUCGCGGCCUAUCAGCUUGUUGGUGGGGUAAUGGCCUACCAAGGCGUCGACGGGUAGCCGGCCUGAGAGGGUGUACGGCCACAUUGGGACUGAGAUACGGCCCAGACUCCUACGGGAGGCAGCAGUGGGGAAUAUUGCAGAAUGGGCGCAAGCCUGAUGCAGCGACGCCGCGUGGGGGAUGACGGCCUUCGGGUUGUAAACUCCUUUCGCUAGGGACGAAGCGCAAGUGACGGUACCUGGAGAAGAAGCACCGGCUAACUACGUG